UACGUAGGUGACAAGCGUUGUCCGGAUUUACUGGGCGUAAAGAGCGCGCAGGCGGUCGAUCAAGUCGAGUGUGAAAGCCCCCGGCUCAACUGGGGAGGGUCAUUCGAUACUGAUCGACUCGAAGGCAGGAGAGGGUAGUGGAAUUCCCGGUGUAGCGGUGAAAUGCGUAGAGAUCGGGAGGAACACCAGAGGCGAAGGCGGCGACCUGGACAGUUACUGACACUCAACUACGAAAGCGUGGGGAGCAAACAGG
RNAcentral lists this ribosomal RNA (253 nucleotides) under uncultured bacterium. Its description in RNAcentral is "partial 16S ribosomal RNA". It matches the Rfam family "Bacterial small subunit ribosomal RNA", at positions 524 to 776 of the family's 1533-position model. The record is from RNAcentral.